UGCAAGUCGAGCGGGGGAAGGUAGCUUGCUACCGGACCUAGCGGCGGACGGGUGAGUAAUGCUUAGGAAUCUGCCUAUUAGUGGGGGACAACAGUUGGAAACGGCUGCUAAUACCGCAUACGCCCUACGGGGGAAAGCAGGGGAUCUUCGGACCUUGCGCUAAUAGAUGAGCCUAAGUCGGAUUAGCUAGUUGGUGGGGUAAAGGCCUACCAAGGCGACGAUCUGUAGCGGGUCUGAGAGGAUGAUCCGCCACACUGGGACUGAGACACGGCCCAGACUCCUACGGGAGGCAGCAGUGGGGAAUAUUGGACAAUGGGGGCAACCCUGAUCCAGCCAUGCCGCGUGUGUGAAGAAGGCCUUUUGGUUGUAAAGCACUUUAAGCGAGGAGGAGGCGCCCUAGAUUAAUACUCUAGGUGCGUGGACGUUACUCGCAGAAUAAGCACCGGCUAACUCUGUGCCAGCAGCCGCGGUAAUACAGAGGGUGCAAGCGUUAAUCGGAUUUACUGGGCGUAAAGCGUGCGUAGGUGGCCAAUUAAGUCAAAUGUGAAAUCCCCGAGCUUAACUUGGGAAUUGCAUUCGAUACUGGUUGGCUAGAGUAUGGGAGAGGAUGGUAGAAUUCCAGGUGUAGCGGUGAAAUGCGUAGAGAUCUGGAGGAAUACCGAUGGCGAAGGCAGCCAUCUGGCCUAAUACUGACACUGAGGUACGAAAGCAUGGGGAGCAAACAGGAUUAGAUACCCUGGUAGUCCAUGCCGUAAACGAUGUCUACUAGCCGUUGGGGCCUUUGAGGCUUUAGUGGCGCAGCUAACGCGAUAAGUAGACCGCCUGGGGAGUACGGUCGCAAGACUAAAACUCAAAUGAAUUGACGGGGGCCCGCACAAGCGGUGGAGCAUGUGGUUUAAUUCGAUGCAACGCGAAGAACCUUACCUGGUCUUGACAUAGUAAGAACUUUCCAGAGAUGGAUUGGUGCCUUCGGGAACUUACAUACAGGUGCUGCAUGGCUGUCGUCAGCUCGUGUCGUGAGAUGUUGGGUUAAGUCCCGCAACGAGCGCAACCCUUUUCCUUAUUUGCCAGCGGGUUAAGCCGGGAACUUUAAGGAUACUGCCAGUGACAAACUGGAGGAAGGCGGGGACGACGUCAAGUCAUCAUGGCCCUUACGAC
This 1158-nucleotide ribosomal RNA is filed under the name Acinetobacter shaoyimingii. Its description in RNAcentral is "bacterial SSU rRNA". It matches the Rfam family "Bacterial small subunit ribosomal RNA", at positions 56 to 1208 of the family's 1533-position model. Lineage: Bacteria; Pseudomonadati; Pseudomonadota; Gammaproteobacteria; Moraxellales; Moraxellaceae. The record is from RNAcentral.